GGUUAAGCGACUAAGCGUACACGGUGGAUGCCCUGGCAGUCAGAGGCGAUGAAGGACGUGCUAAUCUGCGAAGUGCGUCGGUAAGGUGAUAUGA
RNAcentral lists this ribosomal RNA (94 nucleotides) under Klebsiella pneumoniae. RNAcentral's name for it is "partial 23S ribosomal RNA". It matches the Rfam family "Bacterial large subunit ribosomal RNA", at positions 1 to 94 of the family's 2925-position model. Lineage: Bacteria; Pseudomonadati; Pseudomonadota; Gammaproteobacteria; Enterobacterales; Enterobacteriaceae. The record is from RNAcentral.